Molecule: ribosomal RNA, 277 nt
Filed under: Mycena citrinomarginata
Lineage: Eukaryota; Fungi; Basidiomycota; Agaricomycetes; Agaricales; Mycenaceae
Description: partial large subunit ribosomal RNA
Rfam family: Eukaryotic large subunit ribosomal RNA
Source: RNAcentral
CGUGAAAUUGUUGAAAGGGAAACGCUUGAAGUCAGUCGCGCCGUUCAGGACUCAGCCUUGCUUUGCUUGGUGUACUUCCUGUUUGGUGGGUCAGCAUCAAUUUUGGUCGGUGGAUAAAGGCUUAGAGAAUGUGGCAUCUUCGGGUGUGUUAUAGCUCUGGGUCGCAUACGUCGGCUGGGAUUGAGGAACUCAGCACGCCGCAAGGCCGGGGACUUGUCCCACGUACGUGCUUAGGAUGCUGGCAUAAUGGCUUUAAUCGACCCGUCUUGAAACACGG